GGGGAUCUAUGGGGCGGGGGGAUCUAUGGGGCGGGGGAUCUAUGGGGCGGGGGAUCUAUGGGGUCUCUUCAAUCCCCCCCCCCUGCCCCAUUGCAGGUCCCAGUGAUGCUUCCUCCCCACAAGUGGUGGCUGAGAGUGACGUGGAUGAAGCCGAUGUGACCCCAAACCUGGGAGGCCCCAAAAAGCUCCUUUUUGACCCCAAAAAUCCCAUUAAUCGACCCCAAAACCGUCCCCAUAGGAGCCAUAAGGGGGCCCCAUUGACCCCAGACCCACAUAUAGGGGACCCUAUAAAGGACCCUAUAAAGGACCCUAUAAGGGACCCUAUAUUGGAUCCUAUAAGGGACCCUAUAAGAGACCCCAUAAGGGACCCCAUAAGUGACCCUAUAAGGGAUCCCAUAAGGGACCCUAUAGGGGACACUAUAAGGGACCCUAUAGGGGACACUAUAAGGGACCCCAUAAGUGAUCCCAUAAGGGAUCCUAUAAGAGACCCUAUAGGAGACCCUAUAAAGGACCCUAUAAGGGACCCUAUAGGGGACACUAUAAGGGACCCCAUAAGAGACCCCAUAAGAGACCCCAUAAGUGACCCUAUAAAGGACCCUAUAAUGGAUCCUAUAAGGGACCCCAUAAGAGACCCCAUAAGUGACCCUAUAAGGGACCCUAUAAAGGACCCUAUAAAGGACCCUAUAAAGGACCCUAUAAUGGACCCUAUAGGAGACCCUAUAAGGGACCCUAUAUUGGAUCCAAUAAGGGACCCUAUAAUGGACCCUAUAUUGGACCCUAUAAAGGACCCUAUAGGAGACCCUAUAAGGGACCCUAUAAAGGACCCUAUAAGGGACCCUAAAGAGCCCAGCAAUGGAUUUGGGGUGACGGAGGGGGAUGAUAUAGGGGCUGAGAGACCCCAUAAGGGCCAAGAGUUGGAUAAUGAGGGGGAUAUGGGGUCUAUGGGGCGGCCCCAUAAGCAUCAGCAGACCCCAAACCCACCCUAUAGGGGUCCUGGGUUUAUAGGGGGCGGCCAUAAGGAUAUAGGGGAUUUAUUUAGGAUCGACAGCGAUACGGAUGGGGACGAGGACAUUGAGUCUAUGGGGCGCCCCAUAGGGACCCCAAAAGGCUUCAAUGGGGCUGAUGGGGGGAUGGAGACCCCAAAUCCAGACCCUAAAGACCCCAUAAGACCCCAUAGACCCCAUAAGGAUCCAGCUGUGCCUAUGGAGACCCCAAAAGACCCUAAAGACCCCAUAAGACCCCAUAGACCCCAUAAACCCCAUAAGGACCCAGGAGACAUCAGAGACCCCAACGAGGACGGCGGAGCCAAAGCAGAAGUGGGUGGAGCUAAAGCAAAAGGAGGCGGAGCUAAGGCAGAAAGAGGCGGGGCUACGGCAGAAGUGGGCGUGGCUACGAUAAGCCCCGCCCCCUUGCGCCGCAGUCUCCGCCUAUUGGCCAAGCUCCUCCCACCUGACCCCGGAAGUGGGCGUGGCCAAGAAGAGCCCCGCCCCCAGAGGGGAGGCCACGCCCCUCCUCGUAAGAAAGCACGGCUCCGCCCACCGGAGGAGGAGCCUGAUGACGUCACCGGGCCUAAGCUCCGCCCACGAGGAAGCUCCGCCUCCUCUGGCCCCAAGGUUUGAGCCCCAUACCCCCCCCAUAGACCCCAUAGAGACCCCAUAGACCCCAUAGAGCCCCAUAUCCCCCCCAUAGAGCCCCAUAUCCCCCCCAUAGACCCCAUAUAGA
RNAcentral lists this long non-coding RNA (1722 nucleotides) under Coturnix japonica (Japanese quail). RNAcentral's name for it is "lncRNA (ENSCJPG00005006342.1)". The record is from RNAcentral. Lineage: Eukaryota; Metazoa; Chordata; Aves; Galliformes; Phasianidae.